This 364-nucleotide ribosomal RNA is filed under the name Clostridioides difficile. RNAcentral's name for it is "bacterial LSU rRNA". It matches the Rfam family "Bacterial large subunit ribosomal RNA", at positions 2239 to 2602 of the family's 2925-position model. The record is from RNAcentral. Lineage: Bacteria; Bacillati; Bacillota; Clostridia; Peptostreptococcales; Peptostreptococcaceae.
UCUGGUCUUGGGACACUGUCAGGUGGGCAGUUUGACUGGGGCGGUCGCCUCCCAAAAGGGAACGGAGGCGCUCAAAGGUUCUCUCAGUACGGUCGGAAAUCGUACGUAGAGUGUAAAGGCAAAAGAGAGCUUGAUUGCAAGACAUACAGGUCGAGCAAGGAUGAAAAUCGGACUUAGGGAUCCGGUGGUUCUGCGUGGAAGGGCCAUCGCUCAACGGAUAAAAGCUACCCUGGGGAUAACAGGCUUAUCUCCCCCAAGAGUCCACAUCGACGGGGAGGUUUGGCACCUCGAUGUCGGCUCAUCACAUCCUGGGGCUGUAGUAGGUCCCAAGGGUUGGGCUGUUCGCCCAUUAAAGUGGUACGCG